Molecule: long non-coding RNA, 1276 nt
Organism: Rosa chinensis
Lineage: Eukaryota; Viridiplantae; Streptophyta; Magnoliopsida; Rosales; Rosaceae
Exons: 4
Source: RefSeq, a predicted model, not a curated record
UUUAAGUGCAUUUUCAUCCGUUUACUGUUUCUUCUUAUUCUUCUCUUCUCUCCUCUCUUCUCCGUAUCCUCACAUUUGUUCAAUGCAAUAACAUUGCCAACAAAACAGAGCUUUCGAAUCCCAAUAAUCAUUCUUUAUCACCAUCCUGCACACCAUUAUUUUAUGAGUGGCAGGUCUGGGGUGGUAUGAGGAGUAUAACAUAUUGGCGUACAAGGUCGAUCACGAAUAUGAUUACCUCUUCAAGAUUGUAUUGAUUGGAGAUUCGGGUGUCGGAAUUGAAAGUCCAACACUCUUUCCUGCAGGUUUACGAGGAAUGAGUUUUGUUUCUCUUUCCAGGUUUACGAGGAAUGAGUUUUGUUUGGAGUCCAAGUCCACCAUUGGAGUUGAAUUUGCAACCUAGAGAUUACAGAGUCUAGAUUUAUAUGUAGGCAGAGGGGAAGACAGUGAAAGCACAAAUAUGGGACACGGCAGGUCAGGAGAGGUACCGAUCGAGCCAUUACCAAUGCUUACUACAGAGGUGCUGUUGGUGCUCUAUUGAUCUAUGACGUAGCCAAAAGGCAAACAUUUGACAAUGUGACGAGGUGCAUGGCUCCGCGAACUCAGAGACCAUGCAAACUCAAAUAUUGUCAUAAUGAUGGCCGGUAACAAAUCUGACCUCUAUCAACUGAGAGCUGUCCCAGGAGAAGAUGCUCAACUCUUGGCUGAUAAGGAAGACAAUGAUGGCGCUCCUGACUUUGAAAGCACCAUCAUCCCACACCAAAGACGCAAAGACUAUAUUUGCUUUCUCAAUCAGCCGGCUCUUUUACUGUGAGAACAAAAGAUCGAUUUCUUCUGCCCAAGAGAUGUGAAUGACAGCACACUUGGAUUCACACUGAUUUUGAGUCUUGAUUGAUGGAGCCACCACUUUAGCACUAUAUGUGGAAUUCGACGAUCCAACAUUAGUGACAGUCCUAUGGAAGACUCCAUUGACGAAUUCCAGAUUGAUCCUUUAUAGAAAGAGCAAAUGAAGGAUAGUUCAGGUCAUUGGCUGUUUCAUUAUUAGAUUUUGAUGAGCAUGAGCUAGCCUUGACCCUGGUUAUUUUUUCCAAUAGUUUGUCAUUGUAUUUUUGUGAACACAAAAAAUUUACAUAGUCUUGUUCAUCAAGAUCAUAUACCAAACCAAGAUAUAUAUGGAGCCCUAUAAGGGUUUAGUAGGCCAGCCCGUAUGCAAAUUCAGUACUGUGUGGGCUAGUUUUGGCACUCAUAAGUUUAGCUGCAAAAUAUUGGAAAUACAGAA